RNAcentral lists this long non-coding RNA (5118 nucleotides) under Homo sapiens (human). RNAcentral's name for it is "non-protein coding lnc-RDM1-1:6". The record is from RNAcentral. Lineage: Eukaryota; Metazoa; Chordata; Mammalia; Primates; Hominidae.
GAGCUUCCGGAUAGCUGAACGCAUGGAGGCUGACAGGACAGUGAAGGAGAACUCAUCCACGCGCUGGGCGAGUGGUGCACCCCAACUCCACAGGAACGGAAGCUCCUCCAGAUCUUGCCUUGUGUUAUCUUUCCAUCUGGCUAUUUAUUUGCAUCCUUUUUAAAUGUAAGUAAGUGCUUCCAUGAGUUCCGUGAGCUCCUCCAGCAAAUUAAUCAACCCCGAAGAGGGUGGGUCAUGGUAACCCCAACUUGAAGCCAGCUGGUCAGACAUUCUGGAAGCCCAGACUCGUGACUGGUGGGAAGGAGGGAGCAGUUCUGUGGAACUGAUUCCUCAACCUGUGGUUUCUGAGGCUAUUUCCAGGUAGAUGGUGUCACAGUUGAAUUAACUGGUGGACACCCGGCUGUGUCCACUGCAGAACUAAUUGCUUACUUGGUGUGUGGGAAGAAACCCCUACAUAUUUUGUCACAGAAGUCUUCUGUAUUAUUAUGGUGUAAGAGAACAGGAAAAAUGCAUGUUGACUGUUUUUUCCACACUCCCAGUCCACAAAAGUUUUCUCCACUUAUGAACAAAUAAUGUGUGUGUGUGUUUUUUUGUUUUUUUGUUUUUUUGUUUUUCCUGAGACAGGGUCUCACUCUGUCAUCCAGGCUGGGGUGCAGUGGUGUGAUCAUGGCUCACUGCAGCUUCAAUCUCCCAGGUCCAAGUGAUCCUUCUACCUCAGCCUCCCAAGUAGCUGGGACCACAGGUGUGUGCCACCAUACCCAGUUAAUUUUUAAAUUUUUUGUAGAGACAGGGUCUCCCUAUGUUGCCCAGGCUGGUUUUGAACUUCUGAAGCGAUCCUCUCACCUCAGCCUCCAAAAGUCCUGGGAUAACAGGCAUGAGCCACUGUGCCUGGCCAUGAAUACAAAGAAUUUUAACAGACACAAGAUGCAGAUAUGAAGGAAUAGAUGAAUGAAUAGACGCGUGCUGGACAGGAUGGAGUGAAGGGAUGUGUGAAAAGGUAGGAAUGAGUGGGUAAGCGGAGGAGGACAGUGCUGCUCACAGAAGUUCAUGAGCUAAAUGGUAAAGUGAGUCCUAGGCCUUUGAUGGAUACGAGGGAAAGAAGGUAUGUUACUCCCUCAGCCUUACCCAUAGGAGAAGUAAUGUGAACUGAUUUUAGGAGCAAACAGGAAACUUACCCCCAAAUCUCACUCUAGUAUACUAGAAAUCCUUUACUUUUGUAUCUUUUAACUAAGAGGGAAAUAAAUAACAUUGUCAGACCCUCAUUUCACAGAUGAGGAAACUUAGGCCUACAAAGGGCAAGUGGUUUGCCAAAAUGUAACAAGUGGGUUUGGAGCUACAAUGGGACUAGAGCUUAGGUCUCUUAAUUCCCAUUCCUUGCUCUUUUCACCACCCAAAGCUGACACUAGAAGGAAUGACUACGGUGCAGAAUUUCCAAACCCUAAUUUGAGGAAAUUCCCCAAGGGGACUUUUUCAUGCAAGCUGGAGAGCCUCAAAAAUGCAAUGAAUGCCUAGGAAGGUUCUAAGGGCCCUAAUAUUCUAACCUGAACACUAGAAAGCAGGGCAAGCAGCAUAGUGGGGAAGCAGGGGACUGGGACCCCCGUCCCUGAGAAUGGAAGUAAUAGGCAAGAAGCCAAGGGGCUUCCCAGGACAAGCUAAAAAAGAGCAGAUCCAGACUACAACUACAGAAUCCUGUAAGAUUCUGAAACUUUGUCACUUCCUUUCUAAGGCUUCCUUCCUAAGCCUCUCUGUGAAACUCUUUGAAAAGGGGUAUGUGGGCUAGCCUGCAAGGACAGCCAGAAGGGAGAAGGAUCACAUCCCCCUCCGUGGCCAGGCUCUGAGAGACAGAAAUCCAGUGAAGGACAGAGCAUGGGGCUGAGUGUCUGUAGCCCACUGCAUUGAGGGCAGGAGAGCUCAGGGCAGGUCUGAGUCAUCACCAUUUUCUGUGUGUUUCUUCCUAAUAAGUGAAAUAAUGUGUAGUGUCUAGCACGGUGCCUGACAGCUCACAGAAAAUCCCCAACUUCCCCUCCCCCACCGCCAUGCCUUCUAACUCUCGGUGAGAUGAACAUCUCUACUGGGAGGGGAAGCCAUUGAGGGAAGAAAUGCUGGCACCUUGACAUUUGGGGAAAGAAAGGGAAGGAAUUGUUUUCCAAGUAUCUACUUUGUGCCAGAAAUGGUGUUGGGCAAUUUACUGAUUGCCUCAUUUAAUCCUUUGACGUAUCCUAGGAGUUAGGUAUUCUCAGCCCCAUUUCCAGAAAGCAAACCAAGGUGAAAAAGAGUUAAUAAUUUGUUCAAAGACAUAUGGAAAAGUGCCAGGCAUGGUGGCUCACGCCUGUAAUCCUAGCACUUUGGGAGGCCAAGGCGGGCAGAUCACUUGAGGUCAGGAGUUCAAGACCAGCCUGGCCAACAAGGCGAAAUGCUGUCUCGACUAAAAAUACAAAAAUUAGCCAGAAAUCACUUGAAUCUGGGAGGCGGAAGUUGCAGUAAGCCAAGAUCGUGCCACUGCACUCCAGCCUGGGCAACAGAGUGAGACUCCAUCUAAAAAAAAAAAAAAAAAGUCAUACAGAAAGGGUUGGAUGUGGUGGCUCACACCUGUAAUCCCAGCACUUUGGGAGGCCAAAGUGAGAGGAUCACGUGAAGCUAGGAGUUUGAGACCAGCCUAGGCAACAUAGUGAGAUCCCCUCUUUAGGGAAAAAAAAAAAAUUCUGCCACAAAAGCCACAUUCAAUAGAAAACAUUUUUUUAAAAAAAUAGCUAGGCAUGGUGGCAUGCACCUGUAGUCCCAGCUACACAGCAGGCCAAGGCGGGAGGAUUGCUUGAGCACAAGAGUUUGAGGUUACAGUAAGCAAUGAUCAGCUACUGCAUUCCCACCUGGGCAACAUCUCUAAAGAAAAAUCAAACAAAAAACGACAUACAGAAAGUAUGCGCUAUCUGAUUUCAACCCCAAGUUUGUCCUGCUUUACCAGGCUUUCUCCUGGGGCCUGGAGGCAGUGGGGCCAAGGGCAGGGGUGGGGUGUGCAGGGGACAGCAGUGCUCCAGCAAUAAGAGUUCUUGAAGAGUACUUCAUGAGGGGGUAUACACCAAUAGAGGGGAAGCCACCAGCCACCAACAUGCAGAGGAAAACAACAACAACAACAAAAACAGACCCCAAGGUAUCAGGAGAAGGACAGUCUGAAGUCAUCUGGCACCCAGCCAUUUUGGAAGAACUGAUGCUUCUCCACGGGCCUUGUUCCCGUGGUCACCCCACCCCCAAGAUAUCUUGUGACAGGCUCCUCCAGUAACCAGAGGCAGGUGAGCGCUGCUCUGAUCAACAAACACACCGCAUGUGGUCUCCAGCUGCAAUAAACAAGUGGCUGUGCACAGCCAAUGUCCUGUGUGGUGAAGGUGAGAAGAGUGAGGGGGAGCCAAGCUGCAACCCUCAGCCUGAAUGUGGUUGGAAUUAUGAGAGCAGUUGUCAAAGUUAGUACCUUGACAUAGUGCAAUGUGCAUUAAAGUGCACAGUGCAAGGUGACAGAAGAGGGGAGGGGGAGGGGGUGGGGGAAGGGGUGGGGAGAGGAGGGGGAGGGGAGGGGAGAGGAAUUGAGGAGCAGAACAGAAUAACACAGAAAGAACCAACCAGAGCUGGACCAAAAAUCGAGGCCAGGAUGUUGUAGAGUCUUGGGUUCAAAUUCUGCCUCCUCCUGGGAAGUCCCCUGAGCCUGCUACAAGGUCUUGGCUUGCACCCUAUUGCCUCUGGCAGAUCCUCCAACCAGCACCAAUGAAGCACCUACCCCAUGCAGGGUCCUUCAGAAACAAAGAGUGAGAUAGCUUCCAGUCUCAGGUGGGGAAUAUUUAGACUUGUGAACAGGGGCAAAGAAGGAGAGAAACAACCAGGAAGUAACCUCCAAUUUGCAGAUGGGGAAAAUUAAGUUUCAUCAGGAGGAAAUGACUUUGCCUCAGGCUUCUCUUGGGAUCCCAGAUUUCUAGAGGAUGGGGGGAAUGUCCCUGCUUUGGGCAUGUUUUUAAGAGCACUGGAACAGCCAGAGCUGCUGCCCACAGUCUGAAGUCAGGAGGGGAACUCCAUGUCAGAUAAAAGCUUUGGAAUCCAGAUGGAGUAAGGUUUCAUUUUCUCUGCCUGCAUUUGGUUUCCUAACAUCACAAUGUGAGCCUUGGCUAGCAGCCAGCUUAGCUUUGGAAAAGAGUGAAUGAUGGGGAAAAAAAAAAAAAAAGACUGUGCCAGGAAGGGAGGGGAGGAGAGGGGCUACACUAGGCUGGAGGGGAUAUGGGCCUGGCUUUAGAGGAUUAUGCUAGGAAAAGGGGUGCCAGAGGCGUGAAAGCUGAUAGGAACAAGCCCUGUGGAUCAAGAGGCCCAUCAGUGAGCCUGCAGGGUCUAUGAACUCCUUACAUGCAAAAUUACAUGUGUCUGUCUGUGUAGGUCUCUACAGAUUGGUGGAAGUGUUCACAGCUUUCAUGAGAUUAUUAUUUUUUUUUUUUUAAGAAAGGCACACUGCCGCAUGCAACACCUCAUUUGGAUGUGUCUGGAGUCUUGGAAGUUUGACUACCCUACAUUCUCCUACAAAUGGACCUUGAGAGCUUGUUUGGAGGUUCUAGCAGGGGAGCGCAGCUACUCGUAUACCCUUGACCAAAGAACAGUCCUCCUCUAUUGGGGAAGGUUGUCCUCUUCUGAAACUACCUUUGCAAAAAUUAUAGCAGUGAGAAAAUUAUGACAGUGAAAGAAAUCUGACCUAAUUGACUCCAUCUUGCUUCUAACCUCCCAGCUGCCCUUGUUCAUUCCUGGGCAUAGGGAGCACUAACUUUGGGAGGAUUUAGUUUAUAGUUUAACUUUGAAACAAAGAUGAUAACAGCCCCUCCCUGAGACCAACCCACUCCUUGCCUGGGGACCAGAAAGCCUUUGUAAAACUAACACAUUGGCCACAAGAUUAGAAAUGACGGCUCAGGAGUCAUGCAGCCAAAGGCCUCGAGAUCAUGAACCUCCCCAAUUGCUCCUGUAGAUAAUAUUAUUAUUGUAAAACCUAACAUGGGUGUUUGAGGUAUUUUUCAGACCCUGCCUUCUGAUGGAUCAGCUGGCACCACCCAGACCAGUAAACUGGCUCAUCUGGUCUUCUGGCCCCCACCCAGGAAC